Bombus terrestris (buff-tailed bumblebee) is the source of this 427-nucleotide long non-coding RNA. RefSeq lists it as uncharacterized. The transcript is spliced from 2 exons. NCBI's taxonomy places the organism in Eukaryota, Metazoa, Arthropoda, Insecta, Hymenoptera, Apidae. The record is from RefSeq and is a predicted model, not a curated record.
GUUCUGCUGCUGCCGAUGGUACGUACGUUCUUUCUCCGCUGCGUGAAAUUGUCCUGCCUUUUUUGACGUUUCGAUCUGUGUCUUUGAUUCAUUGGUUUUCACACAAAGGAUCGUUCUCUUUGUCUAUCAAGGUCGAGUUCUUGAGCGUAGAUUGAUCAGGAAACGGAUUGGCGCCUUGGUAUAUCGAUUAGAAUGCAACGUGUGUCAAGUGGAAGCUGCUUUCUAUUGUUCUUCGUUAUCGCUGGUUAUCAAAUACUUCGCAUAUUAUUCUGUAUACCGUAUUUCCUUUAUUGAUAAAAUGGUGUUUGUGGUGUGUGAUUUAAUCAGUGAUUUCGCGAUUUAUCCGUGAAUUUGUUCCGAUUGCUCUACUUUGUGCAAUAUGUACAUUACGUUAAUAAUAAUACUAACAGGAAAGGGUCGAAGAUGA